GUAGAACGCUGGCGGCAUGCUUUACACAUGCAAGUCGAACGGUAACAGGCCGCAAGGUGCUGACGAGUGGCGAACGGGUGAGUAAUGCAUCGGAACGUGCCCAGUCGUGGGGGAUAACGCAGCGAAAGCUGUGCUAAUACCGCAUACGAUCUAUGGAUGAAAGCGGGGGACCGUAAGGCCUCGCGCGAUUGGAGCGGCCGAUGUCAGAUUAGGUAGUUGGUAGGGUUAAGGCUCACCAAGCCAACGAUCUGUACCUGGUCUGAGUGGACGACCAGCCACACUGGGACGGAGACACGGCCCAGACUCCUACGGGAGGCAGCGGUGGGGAAUGUUGGACAAGGGGCGCAAGCCUAAUCCAGCAAUGCCGCGUGAAGGAAGAGGGCCUUCGGGUUGUAAACUGCUUUUGUACGGAACGAAAAGGUUUGGGUUAAUACCCUGGGCCGAUGACGGUACCGUAAGAGUAAGCACCGGCUAACUACGUGCCAGCAGCCGCCGUAA
Molecule: ribosomal RNA, 498 nt
Filed under: uncultured bacterium
Lineage: Bacteria
Description: partial 16S ribosomal RNA
Rfam family: Bacterial small subunit ribosomal RNA
Source: RNAcentral